This 839-nucleotide ribosomal RNA is filed under the name uncultured Bacteroidota bacterium. RNAcentral describes it as "bacterial SSU rRNA". It matches the Rfam family "Bacterial small subunit ribosomal RNA", at positions 51 to 886 of the family's 1533-position model. Lineage: Bacteria; Pseudomonadati; Bacteroidota. The record is from RNAcentral.
ACACAUGCAGUCGAGGGGUAGCAGGAUUAAGCUUGCUUAAUUGCUGACGACCGGCGCACGGGUGCGUAACGCGUAUGCAACCUACCUUAUACUGGGGUAUAGCCCGGAGAAAUUCGGAUUAAUCCCCCAUAGUACUAUUUAACCGCAUGGUUAGAUAGUUAAAGCAUUGCGGUAUAAGAUGGGCAUGCGUCCUAUUAGCUAGAUGGUGAGGUAACGGCUCACCAUGGCUACGAUAGGUAGGGGGCCUGAGAGGGUGGUCCCCCACACUGGUACUGAGACACGGACCAGACUCCUACGGGAGGCAGCAGUGAGGAAUAUUGGUCAAUGGGCGCAAGCCUGAACCAGCCAUGCCGCGUGCAGGAAGAAUGCCCUAUGGGUUGUAAACUGCUUUUAUUUGGGAAUAAACCUCUUUACGUGUAGAGAGCUGAAGGUACCAAAUGAAUAAGCACCGGCUAACUCCGUGCCAGCAGCCGCGGUAAUACGGAGGGUGCAAGCGUUAUCCGGAAUCAUUGGGUUUAAAGGGUCCGCAGGCGGAUUUAUAAGUCAGUGGUGAAAUCCUAUCGCUUAACGAUAGAACUGCCAUUGAUACUGUAAGUCUUGAAUUCGGUCGGAGUGGGCGGAAUGUGUAGUGUAGCGGUGAAAUGCAUAGAUAUUACACAGAACACCGAUAGCGAAGGCAGCUCACUAGGCCUGAAUUGACGCUCAGGGACGAAAGCGUGGGGAUCAAACAGGAUUAGAUACCCUGGUAGUCCACGCUGUAAACGAUGAUUACUCGUUUUCGGCGAUAUACAGUCGGAGACUAAGCGAAAGUGAUAAGUAAUCCACCUGGGGAGUACGAU